GUUUUAAUAGUUUAAAUAAAACCUUGGUCUUGUAAACCAAAAUUGAACUUAAUAUGCUCUUAAAACU
This 67-nucleotide transfer RNA is filed under the name Ranina ranina. RNAcentral's name for it is "tRNA-Thr". It matches the Rfam family "tRNA". From Rfam's summary of the family: Transfer RNA (tRNA) molecules are approximately 80 nucleotides in length. Their secondary structure includes four short double-helical elements and three loops (D, anti-codon, and T loops). Further hydrogen bonds mediate the characteristic L-shaped molecular structure. tRNAs have two regions of fundamental functional importance: the anti-codon, which is responsible for specific mRNA codon recognition, and the 3' end, to which the tRNAs corresponding amino acid is attached (by aminoacyl-tRNA synthetases). tRNAs cope with the degeneracy of the genetic code in two manners: having more than one tRNA (with a specific anti-codon) for a particular amino acid; and 'wobble' base-pairing, i.e. permitting non-standard base-pairing at the 3rd anti-codon position. The record is from RNAcentral. Lineage: Eukaryota; Metazoa; Arthropoda; Malacostraca; Decapoda; Raninidae.